This 518-nucleotide ribosomal RNA is filed under the name uncultured bacterium. Its description in RNAcentral is "bacterial SSU rRNA". It matches the Rfam family "Bacterial small subunit ribosomal RNA", at positions 28 to 556 of the family's 1533-position model. The record is from RNAcentral.
GACGAACGCUGGCGGCGUGCCUAACACAUGCAAGUCGAACGAGGUCCAACCCUCCGCAAGGAGAGGGAAGACCUAGUGGCGAACGGGUGAGUAACACGUGAGCAACCUGCCUCGAAGACCGGGAUAACCCGGGGAAACCCGGGCUAAUACCGGAUGCCCUCAGCGGGCCACAUGACCUGCUGAGGAAAUGGAUUCCGCUUCGAGAGGGGCUCGCGGCCUAUCAGCUUGUUGGUGGGGUAACGGCCCACCAAGGCUCCGACGGGUAGCUGGUCUGAGAGGACGAUCAGCCACACUGGGACUGAGACACGGCCCAGACUCCUACGGGAGGCAGCAGUGGGAAAUCUUGCGCAAUGGGCGAAAGCCUGACGCAGCAACGCCGCGUGGGGGAUGAAGGCUCUCGGGUUGUAAACCCCUUUCAGCAGGGACGAUUGUGACGGUACCUGCAGAAGAAGCCCCGGCCAACUACGUGCCAGCAGCCGCGGUAACACGUAGGGGGCGAGCGUUGUCCGGAUUUAGUU